RNAcentral lists this transfer RNA (68 nucleotides) under Myotis lucifugus (little brown bat). It matches the Rfam family "tRNA". From Rfam's summary of the family: Transfer RNA (tRNA) molecules are approximately 80 nucleotides in length. Their secondary structure includes four short double-helical elements and three loops (D, anti-codon, and T loops). Lineage: Eukaryota; Metazoa; Chordata; Mammalia; Chiroptera; Vespertilionidae. The record is from Rfam by way of RNAcentral.
GGCUGAGUAGCUCAGUUGGUUAGAGCGUUGUCCUGAUACUCCAAGGUUGUGGGUUCGAACCUCAGUCA